RNAcentral lists this non-coding RNA (84 nucleotides) under Leptospirillum ferrodiazotrophum. RNAcentral's name for it is "sRNA-Xcc1". It matches the Rfam family "sRNA-Xcc1". The record is from Rfam by way of RNAcentral. Lineage: Bacteria; Pseudomonadati; Nitrospirota; Nitrospiria; Nitrospirales; Nitrospiraceae.
UGCCGGGUGUGCGGCGAAUACAAGACCCGCAAGGGAAAUAAGCCCGCCGUCUCCGUACGGUCUUUAGCGCCCGGCGCCCAUUCU